GGGACACGUGGUAUCCUGUCUGAAUAUGGGGGGACCAUCCUCCAAGGCUAAAUACUCCUGACUGACCGAUAGUGAACCAGUACCGUGAGGGAAAGGCGAAAAGAACCCCGGCGAGGGGAGUGAAAAAGAACCUGAAACCGUGUACGUACAAGCAGUGGGAGCACGCUUAGGCGUGUGACUGCGUACCUUUUGUAUAAUGGGUCAGCGACUUAUAUUCUGUAGCAAGGUUAACCGAAUAGGGGAGCCGAAGGGAAACCGAGUCUUAACUGGGCGUUAAGUUGCAGGGUAUAGACCCGAAACCCGGUGAUCUAGCCAUGGGCAGGUUGAAGGUUGGGUAACACUAACUGGAGGACCGAACCGACUAAUGUUGAAAAAUUAGCGGAUGACUUGUGGCUGGGGGUGAAAGGCCAAUCAAACCGGGAGAUAGCUGGUUCUCCCCGAAAGCUAUUUAGGUAGCGCCUCGUGAAUUCAUCUCCGGGGGUAGAGCACUGUUUCGGCAAGGGGGUCAUCCCGACUUACCAACCCGAUGCAAACUGCGAAUACCGGAGAAUGUUAUCACGGGAGACACACGGCGGGUGCUAACGUCCGUCGUGAAGAGGGAAACAACCCAGACCGCCAGCUAAGGUCCCAAAGUCAUGGUUAAGUGGGAAACGAUGUGGGAAGGCCCAGACAGCCAGGAUGUUGGCUUAGAAGCAGCCAUCAUUUAAAGAAAGCGUAAUAGCUCACUGGUCGAGUCGGCCUGCGCGGAAGAUGUAACGGGGCUAAACCAUGCACCGAAGCUGCGGCAGCGACGCUUAUGCGUUGUUGGGUAGGGGAGCGUUCUGUAAGCCUGUGAAGGUGUGCUGUGAGGCAUGCUGGAGGUAUCAGAAGUGCGAAUGCUGACAUAAGUAACGAUAAAGCGGGUGAAAAGCCCGCUCGCCGGAAGACCAAGGGUUCCUGUCCAACGUUAAUCGGGGCAGGGUGAGUCGACCCCUAAGGCGAGGCCGAAAGGCGUAGUCGAUGGGAAACAGGUUAAUAUUCCUGUACUUGGUGUUACUGCGAAGGGGGGACGGAGAAGGCUAUGUUGGCCGGGCGACGGUUGUCCCGGUUUAAGCGUGUAGGCUGGUUUUCCAGGCAAAUCCGGAAAAUCAAGGCUGAGGCGUGAUGACGAGGCACUACGGUGCUGAAGCAACAAAUGCCCUGCUUCCAGGAAAAGCCUCUAAGCAUCAGGUAACAUCAAAUCGUACCCCAAACCGACACAGGUGGUCAGGUAGAGAAUACCAAGGCGCUUGAGAGAACUCGGGUGAAGGAACUAGGCAAAAUGGUGCCGUAACUUCGGGAGAAGGCACGCUGAUAUGUAGGUGAAGUCCCUUGCGGAUGGAGCUGAAAUCAGUCGAAGAUACCAGCUGGCUGCAACUGUUUAUUAAAAACACAGCACUGUGCAAACACGAAAGUGGACGUAUACGGUGUGACGCCUGCCCGGUGCCGGAAGGUUAAUUGAUGGGGUCAGCGCAAGCGAAGCUCUUGAUCGAAGCCCCGGUAAACGGCGGCCGUAACUAUAACGGUCCUAAGGUAGCGAAAUUCCUUGUCGGGUAAGUUCCGACCUGCACGAAUGGCGUAAUGAUGGCCAGGCUGUCUCCACCCGAGACUCAGUGAAAUUGAACUCGCUGUGAAGAUGCAGUGUACCCGCGGCAAGACGGAAAGACCCCGUGAACCUUUACUAUAGCUUGACACUGAACAUUGAGCCUUGAUGUGUAGGAUAGGUGGGAGGC
Molecule: ribosomal RNA, 1751 nt
Filed under: Escherichia coli
Lineage: Bacteria; Pseudomonadati; Pseudomonadota; Gammaproteobacteria; Enterobacterales; Enterobacteriaceae
Description: partial 23S ribosomal RNA
Rfam family: Bacterial large subunit ribosomal RNA
Source: RNAcentral